This 460-nucleotide ribosomal RNA is filed under the name uncultured bacterium. RNAcentral describes it as "partial 16S ribosomal RNA". It matches the Rfam family "Bacterial small subunit ribosomal RNA", at positions 338 to 795 of the family's 1533-position model. The record is from RNAcentral.
CCUACGGGUGGCUGCAGUGAGGAAUAUUGGUCAAUGGGCGCGAGCCUGAACCAGCCAAGUAGCGUGAAGGAUGACUGCCCUACGGGUUGUAAACUUCUUUUAUAAAGGAAUAAAGUGAGGCACGUGUGCCUUUUUGUAUGUACUUUAUGAAUAAGGAUCGGCUAACUCCGUGCCAGCAGCCGCGGUAAUACGGAGGAUCCGAGCGUUAUCCGGAUUUAUUGGGUUUAAAGGGUGCGUAGAUGGGUUGUUAAGUCAGUGGUGAAAGUUUGUGGCUCAACCGUAAAAUUGCAGUUGAUACUGGCAGCCUUGAGUACGGUUGAGGUAGGCGGAAUUCGUGGUGUAGCGGUGAAAUGCUUAGAUAUCACGAAGAACCCCGAUUGCGAAGGCAGCCUACUAAGCUACCACUGACGUUGAUGCUCGAAAGUGUGGGUAUCAAACAGGAUUAGAUACCCUAGUAGUC